AGAGUUUGAUCCUGGCUCAGAUUGAACGCUGGCGGAAUGCUUUACACAUGCAAGUCGAGCGGCAGCGCGGGGCAACCUGGCGGCGAGCGGCGAACGGGUGAGUAAUAUAUCGGAACGUACCCUGUCGUGGGGGAUAACACAUCGAAAGAUGUGCUAAUACCGCAUACGACCUGAGGGUGAAAGCGGGGGAUCGCAAGACCUCGCGCGAUAGGAGCGGCCGAUAUCGGAUUAGCUAGUUGGUGAGGUAAAGGCUCACCAAGGCGACGAUCCGUAGCUGGUCUGAGAGGACGACCAGCCACACUGGAACUGAGACACGGUCCAGACUCCUACGGGAGGCAGCAGUGGGGAAUUUUGGACAAUGGGGGAAACCCUGAUCCAGCCAUUCCGCGUGAGUGAAGAAGGCCUUCGGGUUGUAAAGCUCUUUCGGCAGGAACGAAACGGUAAGGGCUAAUAUCCUUUGCUAAUGACGGUACCUGAAGAAGAAGCACCGGCUAACUACGUGCCAGCAGCCGCGGUAAUACGUAGGGUGCGAGCGUUAAUCGGAAUUACUGGGCGUAAAGCGUGCGCAGGCGGUUUUGUAAGACAGAUGUGAAAUCCCCGGGCUUAACCUGGGAACUGCGUUUGUGACUGCAAGACUAGAGUGCGGCAGAGGGGGGUGGAAUUCCACGUGUAGCAGUGAAAUGCGUAGAGAUGUGGAGGAACACCGAUGGCGAAGGCAGCCCCCUGGGUCGACACUGACGCUCAUGCACGAAAGCGUGGGUAGCAAACAGGAUUAGAUACCCUGGUAGUCCACGCCCUAAACGAUGCCAACUAGGUGUUGGGGAAGGAGACUUCCUUAGUACCGUAGCUAACGCGUGAAGUUGGCCGCCUGGGGAGUACGGUCGCAAGAUUAAAACUCAAAUGAAUUGACGG
RNAcentral lists this ribosomal RNA (912 nucleotides) under uncultured bacterium. RNAcentral describes it as "bacterial SSU rRNA". It matches the Rfam family "Bacterial small subunit ribosomal RNA", at positions 8 to 916 of the family's 1533-position model. The record is from RNAcentral.